UGAAUUGACUUUCCGAGGCAACUCGGUCGGGAGGAUUGCCGGCGCCAGCUGGCUUUCUUUGCAUUUCCAGGUCUACGUUUUUCAUAUACCCCAUUGUAUGUAACAGAAUGUAACAUUGGGCACUUGUGCCUAUAAACUUUAUACAACUUUCAGCAACGGAUCUCUUGGCUCUCGCAUCGAUGAAGAACGCAGCGAAAUGCGAUAAGUAAUGUGAAUUGCAGAAUUCAGUGAAUCAUCGAAUCUUUGAACGCACCUUGCGCUCCUUGGUAUUCCGAGGAGCAUGCCUGUUUGAGUGUCAUUAAAUUCUCAACCUUUAUCAACUUUUGUUGAUCAUGGCUUGGAUAUGGGGGUUUAUUUUGCUGGCUUCUUUACAGAUGGUCAGCUCCCCUUAAAUGCAUUAGCCGGUGCCCCGCGUGGACUGUCUAUUGGUGUGAUAAUUAUCUACGCCGUGGACAUCUGCAAUCAUAUGGGUUUGCACUGCUUCCAACUGUCUGUUGAAUCAGACAAUACAUGACAAUUUGACCUCAAAUCAGGUAGGAC
This 540-nucleotide ribosomal RNA is filed under the name Hebeloma incarnatulum. RNAcentral describes it as "eukaryotic LSU rRNA". The stretch from base 145 to 298 matches the Rfam family "5.8S ribosomal RNA". Lineage: Eukaryota; Fungi; Basidiomycota; Agaricomycetes; Agaricales; Hymenogastraceae. The record is from RNAcentral.